Molecule: ribosomal RNA, 253 nt
Filed under: uncultured bacterium
Lineage: Bacteria
Description: partial 16S ribosomal RNA
Rfam family: Bacterial small subunit ribosomal RNA
Source: RNAcentral
UACAGAGGGGGCAAGCGUUGUUCGGAAUUACUGGGCGUAAAGGGCGCGUAGGCGGCCUUCUAAGUCGAACGUGAAAUCCCUGGGCUCAACCCAGGAACUGCGUCCGAGACUGGAAGGCUUGAAUCCGGGAGAGGGAUGUGGAAUUCCAGGUGUAGCGGUGAAAUGCGUAGAUAUCAGGAGGAACACCGAUGGCGAAGGCAGCUCGCUGGGACGGUACUGACGCUGAGGCGCGAAAGCGUGGGGAGCAAACAGG